Rhamnusium bicolor is the source of this 72-nucleotide non-coding RNA. The record is from the annotation of a GenBank genome assembly. NCBI's taxonomy places the organism in Eukaryota, Metazoa, Arthropoda, Insecta, Coleoptera, Cerambycidae.
GCAUGAUAGCUGAGUGGGUAAAGUGCUUAUUGCUAUUCCCGAAAGCCGAUGGUUCGAUUCCAUCCUGGAGCA